This 310-nucleotide ribosomal RNA is filed under the name Escherichia coli. RNAcentral's name for it is "bacterial SSU rRNA". It matches the Rfam family "Bacterial small subunit ribosomal RNA", at positions 1 to 307 of the family's 1533-position model. Lineage: Bacteria; Pseudomonadati; Pseudomonadota; Gammaproteobacteria; Enterobacterales; Enterobacteriaceae. The record is from RNAcentral.
AAAUUGAAGAGUUUGAUCAUGGCUCAGAUUGAACGCUGGCGGCAGGCCUAACACAUGCAAGUCGAACGGUAACAGGAAGAAGCUUGCUUCUUUGCUGACGAGUGGCGGACGGGUGAGUAAUGUCUGGGAAACUGCCUGAUGGAGGGGGAUAACUACUGGAAACGGUAGCUAAUACCGCAUAACGUCGCAAGACCAAAGAGGGGGACCUUCGGGCCUCUUGCCAUCGGAUGUGCCCAGAUGGGAUUAGCUAGUAGGUGGGGUAACGGCUCACCUAGGCGACGAUCCCUAGCUGGUCUGAGAGGAUGACCAG